UAACUCCUGACCUCAAGUGAUCCGCCCACCUCGGCCUCCCAAAGUGCUGGGAUUACAGGCAUGAGCCACCGCUCCGGGCCCUUGCACAUAUUUUUUUAUGAACACACAGGCAGCAGCACUUUGAUUACAGUAACUUACAUGGAAGUUAUUUUAAAAUGGCUUUCCCCUUCUCUUUUUCAUGUAGGCUGCAUUUUUCAUCUGCAGCACGCUUUCUCUCAAGAAUCUCAAGCACACACAAGAAACCAGAGAGUAAAAUCACUGAGGCGUGAACACAUCCAGAGACCAAGGGCGUCACUGGCAGAAAAGCUUUUAGGCGGAUCCACGGCCCGAGAGCCACCCUGCCCAGAGACGCGGUUUCCUAGGAGCAGUUCACACGCGGCUCUGCAGCACCCACAAGCGGGGCCAGGGGCUGGUUUUCAUAGUUCACAGUCUGCAGGGAUCUUAACAAAAACAUGGCCGUGGUAAAAGUGCCUAGACCAGGCUUUCGUCACAACUCAGUGAGUAGGAAGACUAGUUAGGCUGAUGAAAAGCUCUGAUGAUGUGUGAUUAAAAGUAGGAAAACGUGGUUGCCAAAUAAAAUAUUUUACUAUAUAGUCAGGGGGAGAGAUGGGGAUAAAAAAAUGUGGAAACCAUUUAUUUUAAAAUUUUGACUGUUCCUGCAGUGUUUAAAAUAUAGGAGAUAUAUUCUGAUUAUCUUUAGAAAGAAACUGCUCUCAAUCUAUUUGUAUGUCUUCCCUCUGGUUUUAAAAUAUUAAACAAUCAUCUAACUCAAUAUUUAAUUUUACCUCUAGUCAUGUUACUAGGUUAGGAUAAUAAAAAGGACUGUGAACUUCACAUCUGCCAUCUAUAAUAGAUUCUUAUUGUAGCAAUCUUGCACCAAGGGGAUUUCUUUAUUAACUCUGCCAAAUUUUCCAAAAUUACCAAAUGGAGAAAAGAGCUGGUCCCAUCUGUCACCAGGCACAACCAGGAAGUGUCAGAAGACUUUCAGAAGCACAUGCAGUUGCAGCUCCAGUGUUUCAACAGUUGCCCAUUUCCAAGGCCUCCUAAAUACGUAUGAGGCCUGUGGACAACUUUCUCCUCAGCUGUUACAGCACGAAUGGUUAGAAAGAUGAACUUGGAACCUCAGACGAGAAUAUGAGAAACAUAAACAGAGACAUAUGACAACCUAAAAAAUGGAGUACAAUACCAAUAAGAAUAACGAUUA
This 1204-nucleotide long non-coding RNA is filed under the name Homo sapiens (human). RNAcentral describes it as "HSALNT0375451". Lineage: Eukaryota; Metazoa; Chordata; Mammalia; Primates; Hominidae. The record is from RNAcentral.